This is a non-coding RNA of Chlorocebus sabaeus (green monkey), 1049 nucleotides long. Lineage: Eukaryota; Metazoa; Chordata; Mammalia; Primates; Cercopithecidae. The record is from RefSeq and is a predicted model, not a curated record.
UGAAGAUGGAAACCAUCAUUCUCAGCAAACUAACACAGGAACAGAAAACCAAACACUUUCCCAUGGACAGCUCUUCAGAAACUCAUGAAGACAUAAGGUUCUUCAAAAGAGGAGACUUUCAGAACAUGAGCAGGGAAAUUAUCACUUGAUAGAUGACAAGCAUUGUGGGAAACAAUAGUUUGCCCUCCUUCAUUCCCUUCCUGGUUAUCUUUCCUGUCACAUGAAGAAGAAAUGAAACACCAGAGAGAAUCAAGUUAUCAUCAUCUACACCAGUCACUGUCACUGGUUAAGUAUUGGUUUAAUAGUCCAUUCUUCAUAUAAGAUGGUACCUGACCCACCAGUCACUGUACAUGCAUUUUGAAUUGUUUCACACACGUGGCAUUGCAGAAAUGUCUUGGUCACUGUGGGGGCUGCUACUCUAAAGCAGGAGUUUUCAGUCUUCAUUGUUCUUGUUGCAGAACCCUUUGUUUAGAAGCCCAAGAUGUAAAACAGAUGAAAACAGAGCUGCUUUGUUAGAAACAGGCACAUGAGAGGGAUCACAGUGUUUCUCUUUAGCUCCUCUGAGGACUUUGAAGACCCUUGCUCUAAUGCAACUCUGACUUGUUGAUUGCAGCAAGAUUUAGGAACACUAUGAGUUUGUCCUGAAAGGAGACUCUCCAAGUGGGGAGACACAGAUGAUUAAGGGGCUCUGUCUCUGUUUCCUUUAGUUUCAUAUUCAUCUUAGUUCUUGCACAUGUCAGAUCCACUCUCAUCCUCAUGACAUACUCCUGGUAAAUCAUAGGCCCUGAGUUUCUCAUUACAGAGCUGAUUGGUUGUAAUUUCCUGCAACUAAAAGCCAAGUGAUUACACCCCAAACUUUAAGUUCAAGGAAGGAUGGAGAUUAGGCUUGUUUUCUUUAGGUGUCAUCCCCAUUGUAUAAUGUGCCUGGCGUACACUGGAAAUUCAAUAAAUAUAUGUGGACAGAAUUGAAUGAAGGCACACAUGGACAACCAAGAGACAUGAAGAAAUAUAAAGAGUGCAAUAAAUUAAGUGCAUAGCUUUCUAGAGCA